AUUGAACGCUGGCGGCGGGCCUAACACAUGCAAGUCGAGCGGAUGAGAGGAGCUUGCUCCUCGAUUCAGCGGCGGACGGGUGAGUAAUGCCUAGGAAUCUGCCUAGUAGUGGGGGACAACGUUUCGAAAGGAACGCUAAUACCGCAUACGUCCUACGGGAGAAAGUGGGGGAUCUUCGGACCUCACGCUAUUAGAUGAGCCUAGGUCGGAUUAGCUAGUUGGUAGGGUAACGGCCUACCAAGGCGACGAUCCGUAACUGGUCUGAGAGGAUGAUCAGGCACACUGGAACUGAGACACGGUCCAGACUCCUACGGGAGGCAGCAGUGGGGAAUAUUGGACAAUGGGCGAAAGCCUGAUCCAGCCAUGCCGCGUGUGUGAAGAAGGCCCUCGGGUCGUAAAGCACUUUAAGUUGGGAGGAAGGGCUUACAGCGAAUACCUGUGAGUUUUGACGUUACCGACAGAAUAAGCACCGGCUAACUUCGUGCCAGCCGCCGCCGUAA
Molecule: ribosomal RNA, 500 nt
Filed under: uncultured bacterium
Lineage: Bacteria
Description: partial 16S ribosomal RNA
Rfam family: Bacterial small subunit ribosomal RNA
Source: RNAcentral